AAUGAACGCUGGCGGCAUGCCUUACACAUGCAAGUCGAACGGCAGCAUGACCUAGCUUGCUAGGUUGAUGGCGAGUGGCGAACGGGUGAGUAAUGCAUCGGAACGUGCCUUUUAGUGGGGGAUAACGUAGCGAAAGUUACGCUAAUACCGCAUAUUCUCUGAGGAGGAAAGCAGGGGGCCUUCGGGCCUUGCGCUAGAAGAGCGGCCGAUGUCGGAUUAGCUAGUUGGUGAGGUAAAGGCUCACCAAGGCAACGAUCCGUAGCGGGUCUGAGAGGAUGAUCCGCCACACUGGGACUGAGACACGGCCCAGACUCCUACGGGAGGCAGCAGUGGGGAAUUUUGGACAAUGGGCGCAAGCCUGAUCCAGCCAUGCCGCGUGAGUGAAGAAGGCCUUCGGGUUGUAAAGCUCUUUCGGCUGGGAAGAAAUCGCACCCUCUAAUACAGGGUGUGGAUGACGGUACCAGCAUAAGAAGCACCGGCUAACUACGUG
RNAcentral lists this ribosomal RNA (490 nucleotides) under uncultured bacterium. RNAcentral describes it as "partial 16S ribosomal RNA". It matches the Rfam family "Bacterial small subunit ribosomal RNA", at positions 29 to 507 of the family's 1533-position model. The record is from RNAcentral.